GUAAAAUUUCACUGAAAAAAAAAAAAAAAAAAAAAUUUAGUUACGAUAUCAAUAAUGUCCAUGAAGCACGAUGUGUAUUCUUGCAUUUGUCUUUGAAAAGGCAAUGGUCAGGAGAAGAAUAUUCCUGGAUGUAGAUCUUGAAGACAAAACAAACGGCUGAUACUAUAGACUGUUUGUCCAAUUAACAUAGCUGUGACAAGAAGGGAAAGAAUGAAUUUUAAACAUGGGCAGGGGACUGAAGAAAUGUGUGUAUGACUGUUCUACCCUCAGAAGAGGAUCUGAGGUGAAAA
Oxyura jamaicensis (ruddy duck) is the source of this 290-nucleotide long non-coding RNA. RefSeq lists it as uncharacterized. The record is from RefSeq and is a predicted model, not a curated record. Lineage: Eukaryota; Metazoa; Chordata; Aves; Anseriformes; Anatidae. The transcript is spliced from 3 exons.